RNAcentral lists this ribosomal RNA (236 nucleotides) under uncultured bacterium. Its description in RNAcentral is "partial 16S ribosomal RNA". It matches the Rfam family "Bacterial small subunit ribosomal RNA", at positions 99 to 334 of the family's 1533-position model. The record is from RNAcentral.
CGGACGGGUGAGUAACGCGUGGGUAACCUGCCUUGUACUGGGGGACGAACAGUUGGAAACGACUGCUAAUACCGCAUAAGCGCACAGCUUCGCAUGAAGCAGUGUGAAAAACUCCGGUGGUACAAGAUGGACCCGCGUCUGAUUAGCUGGUUGGUGAGGUAACGGCCCACCAAGGCAACGAUCAGUAGCCGGCCUGAGAGGGUGAACGGCCACAUUGGGACUGAGACACGGCCCAG